Molecule: ribosomal RNA, 253 nt
Filed under: uncultured bacterium
Lineage: Bacteria
Description: partial 16S ribosomal RNA
Rfam family: Bacterial small subunit ribosomal RNA
Source: RNAcentral
UACGGAGGGUGCAAGCGUUAUCCGGAUUCACUGGGUUUAAAGGGUGCGUAGGUGGGCAGGUAAGUCAGUGGUGAAAUCUCCGGGCUUAACCCGGAACUGCCGUUGAUACUAUUUGUCUUGAAUAUUGUGGAGGUAAGCGGAAUAUGUCAUGUAGCGGUGAAAUGCUUAGAUAUGACAUAGAACACCAAUUGCGAAGGCAGCUUACUACACAACGAUUGACGCUGAGGCACGAAAGCGUGGGGAUCAAACAGGA